GCCCAUCCCUUUUGGUUAAACCUGCCCUAAGGAGGAGAAUACUCCCGGGAAACUGGGGUUAAUGCUCCAUAGUGGAUAUGUCCUGGAAUGGUAUAUCCUCGAAAGAUCCGUCGCCUUAGGAUGGGACUGCGUCCGAUUAGGUUGUUGGCGGGGUAACGGCCCACCAAGCCAUUGAUCGGUACGGGUUGUGGGAGCAAGAUCCCGGAGAUGGAUUCUGAGACAUGAAUCCAGGCCCUACGGGGCGCAGCAGGCGCGCAAACUUUACAAUGCCGGACAUCUCACCGGAUAAGACAGCUGAAUGAUUGUCAAUCUGAAGGUUUUACAUGACUAGCUGAGAGGAGGUGCAUGGCCGUCGUCAGUUCGUACUGUGAAGCAUCCUGUUAAGUCAGGCAACGAGCGAGACCCACGCCGACAAUUGCCAGCAGCAUCUCCGGAUGGCUGGGGACAUUGUCGGGACCGCCUCUGCUAAAGGGGAGGAAGGAAUGGGCAACGGUAGGUCAGCAUGCCCCGAAUUAUCCGGGCUACACGCGGGCUACAAUGGACGGGACAAUGGGUAACAACACCGAAAGGUGCAGUCAAUCUCCGAACCCCGCCCUUAGUUAGGAUUGCGGGUUGCAACUCACCCGCAUGAAUCUGGAAUCUGUAGUAAUCGCGUUUCACUAUAGCGCGGUGAAUACGUCCCUGCUCCUUGCACACACCG
Molecule: ribosomal RNA, 700 nt
Filed under: uncultured archaeon
Lineage: Archaea
Description: bacterial SSU rRNA
Rfam family: Archaeal small subunit ribosomal RNA
Source: RNAcentral